This 484-nucleotide ribosomal RNA is filed under the name uncultured bacterium. Its description in RNAcentral is "bacterial SSU rRNA". It matches the Rfam family "Bacterial small subunit ribosomal RNA", at positions 25 to 518 of the family's 1533-position model. The record is from RNAcentral.
CAGGACGAACGCUGGCGGCGUGCUUAAUACAUGCAAGUCGAAUGAAGCCUAGUCUUAGUUACUAUAGACGAAAGCUUAGUGGCGGACGGGUGAGUAACGCGUGGAGAAUCUGCCCUCAAGACCGGGAUAACAGAGCGAAAGUUCUGCUAAAACCGGAUAUGCUCUGAGAGCCGCAUGGUUUAAAGAGGAAAACGUUAGUGCUUGAGGAUGGCUCCGCGUCCCAUUAGCUAGUUGGUAAGGUAACGGCUUACCAAGGCGACGAUGGGUAGCCGGCCUGAGAGGGUGACCGGCCACACUGGGACUGAGACACGGCCCAGACUCCUACGGGAGGCAGCAGUAGGGAAUUUUCCGCCAAUGGGCGAAAGCCUGACGGAGCAACGCCGCGUGAAGGAUGAAGGCCUUCGGGUCGUAAACUUUUGUCUUUGGGGACGAUAAUGACGGUACCCAAGGAGGAAGCCCCGGCUAACUACGUGCCAGCCGCCGC